This 331-nucleotide ribosomal RNA is filed under the name uncultured bacterium. RNAcentral's name for it is "bacterial SSU rRNA". It matches the Rfam family "Bacterial small subunit ribosomal RNA", at positions 29 to 392 of the family's 1533-position model. The record is from RNAcentral.
AUGAACGCUAGUAGUAUGCUUAACACAUGCAAGUUUAACGGAAACAUUGUUUUCGUAGCGUACGGGUGAGUAUUCGCAGAAUUUUUCCUUUCAGUUCAGAACAAAAACUUACUUGUUUAAGUUUAAAUACUGAAUAUUUUAAAGGUUCAUUCCGCUGAAAGAUAAAUCUGCAUAAGAUUAGGUUGUUGGUGAAUUAAAAGCUCACCAAGCCCACGAUCUUUAGUUGGUCUUAGAGGAUGAUCAACCACACUGGAACUGAAACAAGGUCCAGGCUAAUUCGUUGGCCAGCAGUGAGGAAUAUUGGAGUCAAUGAACGAAAGUUUGAUCCAGC